UGAGGAAUAUUGGGCAAUGCCCGCAAGGGUGACCCAGCAACGCCGCGUGGAGGAUGAAUGUCGUAAGAUUGUAAACUCCUGUUAGAGGGGAAGAAUAGUACCGGUUGGACCGGUAUAUGACUGUACCCUCAGAGAAAGCCCCGGCUAACUACGUGCCAGCAGCCGCGGUAAUACGUAGGGGGCAAGCGUUGUCCGGAUUUACGGGGUGUAAAGGGCGCGCAGGCGGGAUAAAAAGUCAGUGGUGAAAUCCUACAGCUUAACUGUAGAACUGCCUUUGAUACUUUUAUGCUUGAGUUCGGGAGAGAGAGACGGAAUUCCAGGUGUAGUGGUGAAAUAUGUAGAUAUCUGGAAGAACACCAGUUGCGAAGGCGGUCUCUUGGUCCGACACUGACGCUGAGGCGCGAAAGCGUGGGGAGCAAACA
RNAcentral lists this ribosomal RNA (422 nucleotides) under uncultured bacterium. RNAcentral's name for it is "bacterial SSU rRNA". It matches the Rfam family "Bacterial small subunit ribosomal RNA", at positions 355 to 774 of the family's 1533-position model. The record is from RNAcentral.